RNAcentral lists this long non-coding RNA (245 nucleotides) under Homo sapiens (human). RNAcentral describes it as "non-protein coding lnc-CYP4A11-2:1". Lineage: Eukaryota; Metazoa; Chordata; Mammalia; Primates; Hominidae. The record is from RNAcentral.
UUCUGGCUCAAGUUAAGUGCCGGGAGACAGCAGGAGCCUGGAUCACUUUCCAGGUCCACAGAAACAGUUCCAAAUUUCUAACUUCUGCUGAUUGAUUCAGAAUGAUCUCCCUGUGAUCAAUUGCCCUUUACUCCAAUCCAAUGAUGAGAACUAAAUGAAAGUUUUCAUUGAUCUGUGUUUCUCUUGGUGACAGAGAAACCAACAGACCAGGAGCUAAAACAAUUUCAGAAAUGGGUAGAUUUCUG